CUCCCUCCUCCAGCACAGCCAAUCUUCAUGCACACUGGCUGUACGCUCCUCCCAGCUCCCUCCAGAUGUUCCCAGGACAAGAGCUAAGUCUGCCCGGCCCGCGCGCGCCGCUUCCGCCCGUGUGGGGAGGGCUUCCCUUCCCCCACUGGAGAAACAAUCUCCGCAGCCCGACCUGUAACUCAGGGAUUGGAUGAGUCUCUACGGUAUUUUUUGCCCUGAAGAGCAGGAGGCUUCGGUCCCAACUAGUAUUGCCAAAGCAGCAUACUAAUUCCAUGCCAUGAUCCUGGGUCAAGAUCUGUACAAUCUGAUUGGCCAUGUCACCUCGGAUGGCAAGUGAGCGGAAGUGGUCAAAAUCAUGGAGUCCCAGCUUUCGGAGACGUCUUGCAGCUGCCCGGUAACACUUCCAAGGCUGAGGCUCCACAAGGAGGUAGCGGCAGAGAGAGGAAAGAUGGGCUAAGAAUUCCCACAAGCCUUGGUCCCCAUGAUUCAGAUGAAUCCACAUAGUUACUGACAUGCAGAAACCAAUGUCAAAAACUAAACAUCCAAAUUGGCUUAAGAAAGAGCUCAAGAGAACCUUCCGGGUCCUUUGAUUCAUGAAGUCCAGGGUGAUAAAGGUCAAGGCAUCAGGAAAAGGACAUUCUUUUUCAGCUCGUUCCACCAGGACUGGAUCUAUGUCACAGCAGAGGAAACGCAGUUCUCUGGAGGCAUCUGAGCAGGUCUCCCCGUCAUCUAGGGAAAGGAAGUGUUUGUAUAGAGCCACACUCAGAUCCUAGAGGAAUCCAAAAGAGCUCUGUCAUUGCAGUUCUCAACCAGUGAAUGGAAGCGAAAGCUAUCUCAGCUUCUCUAAGUCUGCCACUUCACCUUUGACUUUAUAGGAUGUGAACUCCUAAACUAUAAGCAGAGGGAGAUUCUCGGCGCCCUCCAGGGGCCACAGGCUAUAAUGCAUCAUCCCUACAUUUCCCAGACUCAGCAAAGAUGCCUCUGACACUAUUUUCCUAUGUAAGUAAUAUUCUGGUAAAUUCAUCCUUUUCUGGAUACCUAAGGCCCAAGGAAGAGGGAAAGGGAUCCAGAAGCAUGAUAAGUAUCCCUCAACAGGUAGGUGAGGAAUUUUACACCUUCACCAUAUGAAAACCUGUUUCUCAGCCUGUGUUUGGGAAAGUCUGUAUUCCAAAAAGUUUUCAAUCAGCUACCAUUCUAUUGCUUUCAAUUUUAUUAUCUUAUAUUUUACCAACUCCUUCUGAGACAUUCUCUACUUCUGUAGCUAUUGCUCAUAAGGGCCACUGGUUAAAUUCUUUCUAGCCAAA
Molecule: long non-coding RNA, 1304 nt
Organism: Cavia porcellus (domestic guinea pig)
Lineage: Eukaryota; Metazoa; Chordata; Mammalia; Rodentia; Caviidae
Exons: 2
Source: RefSeq, a predicted model, not a curated record